UACGUAGGGUGCGAGCGUUAAUCGGAAUUACUGGGCGUAAAGCGUGCGCAGGCGGUUUUGUAAGACAGAUGUGAAAUCCCCGGGCUUAACCUGGGAACUGCGUUUGUGACUGCAAGACUAGAGUGUGGCAGAGGGGGGUAGAAUUCCACGUGUAGCAGUGAAAUGCGUAGAGAUGUGGAGGAAUACCGAUGGCGAAGGCAGCCCCCUGGGUUAACACUGACGCUCAUGCACGGAAGCGUGGGUAGCGAAUGGG
This 253-nucleotide ribosomal RNA is filed under the name uncultured bacterium. RNAcentral's name for it is "partial 16S ribosomal RNA". It matches the Rfam family "Bacterial small subunit ribosomal RNA", at positions 524 to 776 of the family's 1533-position model. The record is from RNAcentral.